Molecule: transfer RNA, 73 nt
Filed under: Variovorax sp. CF079
Lineage: Bacteria; Pseudomonadati; Pseudomonadota; Betaproteobacteria; Burkholderiales; Comamonadaceae
Rfam family: tRNA
About the family: Transfer RNA (tRNA) molecules are approximately 80 nucleotides in length. Their secondary structure includes four short double-helical elements and three loops (D, anti-codon, and T loops).
Source: Rfam by way of RNAcentral
GCGUGUGUAGCUCAACUGGCAGAGCACUGGUCUCCAAAACCAGCGGUUGAGGGUUCGACUCCUUCCGCGCGCG